GCCCUUGUAGCUUAGUGGUUAGAUGCACCCUCUCAAACUAUCCGAUGAGCUUCACUUUCAUGAGGAAGACGCGGGUUCGACUCCCGCCGAGGGCA
Mycena alexandri is the source of this 95-nucleotide non-coding RNA. NCBI's taxonomy places the organism in Eukaryota, Fungi, Basidiomycota, Agaricomycetes, Agaricales, Mycenaceae. The record is from the annotation of a GenBank genome assembly.